Molecule: non-coding RNA, 72 nt
Organism: Podarcis lilfordi (Lilford's wall lizard)
Lineage: Eukaryota; Metazoa; Chordata; Lepidosauria; Squamata; Lacertidae
Source: the annotation of a GenBank genome assembly
GCACGUAGUUCAGUGGUAGAGCACAUGGCUUUGCAUGCAAAAGGUCACAGGUUCAAUCCCCUGCCUGAAACC